GGUUGUAUACUUUAAAUUAAAAGUUCCUGUUUGCAUCAGGAAAAUGAGUCUAUUACUGUCUCUUCGAUCG
Molecule: transfer RNA, 70 nt
Filed under: Flustra foliacea (greater hornwrack)
Lineage: Eukaryota; Metazoa; Bryozoa; Gymnolaemata; Cheilostomatida; Flustridae
Description: tRNA-Ala
Source: RNAcentral